Podarcis muralis (Common wall lizard) is the source of this 2006-nucleotide non-coding RNA. Lineage: Eukaryota; Metazoa; Chordata; Lepidosauria; Squamata; Lacertidae. The record is from RefSeq and is a predicted model, not a curated record.
UCUGUCCUCCAAGCUCUUUCAGUUAGUCAGCAAGGCACCAGUAAGGGGACGAGAGAGGAACCAGGAGGCAGGAGCUGGGAAGGCUCGCUCGCUUCCUGCUGCAGGCCUGACUGAGGACAGCGCGGGGCUCUGUCUCCUUCCAGGCAUUUGCAUGCUUUUCAGAUUCUUUUGUGCUGAAGGGGAGGGCGUGUUCUCUUCGGCGGAGCCAAGGCUGCGUACAUGAGGCAGCCUUCUGCCCGCUGCAGAGCCUCCCGAAAGGAGCAAACGAGAGCAGCUGCAUGCGUGCAAACAACGACAGUCCUGAGCGCCUGUUCUCGUUCAACGCGGGCCUGGUGCAGAGAUGCCCCACCCAAGGCAGACGGGGCGGGCAUCGCUGAUCGCCUGCGCAGCCCAAUCCACCGCAGGCAUCGCCCUCCAGGCUCGCUCCUUCCCAGCCCCCUUUGGAGAAGGCGGCGGCGGCGGCAAGCGUGCAGCACCACCAGGGUCUGCAGACAAUGGCUUUGCAAACUCGGAAGCUUGGAGGGCCGCAACCCGGAACUGUAUGCAACAUAACCUCCGGCAGCAGCAGCAGUUACCUGCUGACUUGCCCGCCUGCUUCUCGCAGAGACAACGCUGAUGCUGCAGCCGGGCUGACACUUACCGGCGCGCGGAAGCCGCCAGGCCUUGCGAGGGCUGCAGGCACGCGGGGGGGGGGGCUAAAGGGAGCGGCGCGAGGCCAAGUCUGAGCGCGGAAAGCAGCGAAGGCUGGAAGCUCCGUCUGCCCAUUGUCAGCACGCUCAGAAAUUGGCAUGUGCACCUGGGUCACGUCAUUAAAUGGCUGCAGCAGCAGCAGGAAGGGGGCUGGUGCUCAGUGCAUUUGAAGGCAAAACGGAGCAAGGCAACACCGCCUCCCAAAGGGCGACCAUCAGGCACCCUGGUGCUAGCGGAGCAGCUUGUCCGGGUUUGGCGCAGGAUGCCUGGAGAGAGAGCGAGCUUGCAGGCAGGCGUGCACGGGAGAGGCGCCUUUCUUUCAAGGAAGUUGCCUGUAACAGGCCGUCCCUUCGCUACAAAACGCACCAUCGAAACUUGCCGGGUUCCCCUUUAUUUCGAAACCCCUGACGUAUGUUCUCCAGUGGUGUUUCCCCCCGCCCCGCCCCCUUCUUUUCGGUUUGGACAUUUUGCUCCUAGCAUCUCCAGGAAACGCGGGGCGUAAAGAGCCGAAUUCUUAAGCCAUCCCUGAAAACACACACACACCGAUCUGUGUUAAGAGCGGAAAGCCCUCUGCACAUGCCCAAGAGCACUCUUCUUUCUUUAUUGCAUAUGAGUCGCCUAGCACCGAGCUCCGGAAGCAAGUUCCGGCUGAAAAAUCAAGCCACGCCGGGCACAGAUCUCCCUUCAAUUCAAUGAAUGAAAUCCCAACCCGACCCUCUCCUCCCCCCUCGACGCACAUCCGCCCCAGCCCCACCCCCGUUGCACAAGGGGGCACACAGAAGCAAGUCAUCACCCUCUCUCUCCCUGCUGGUGAAUUUCCUUCUCGGCAACAGCGCCUUGCCCCUCCUCCCGCGUGUCAUUCGUUACAGACGCAGCGUGACGGGGAGGGAGCGGCGAACCGAAACCUCGUGGGUGUCUGCCGGAGCAAGGUGGUGCUGCUCGGUAGCCCAGAUUGCAUCUCCAUAGGCUAUGAUACUCCAAACACACCUGUUUACUUUAACCCAGCCUGCUGAAACCAAGCAGAAGGAAGAUAAGGCAGCGCCGAUUUUAAGCACAUCAGAUUUUUGGGAAAUGGACCUCGAAUUUCCAGACGUAUGGCAACCCUACCCAGAAGUGAAAAACAUCCCACAAAGCAACUGGGCAGGGCGGAAAAGGGUGUUUGCAAGCUUUUUCAAUGGGUGUUCCAAUAAUACGCGAUUUCACACAAGCACACAAUGACCCGGAAAAUGAACCCCCCCUCACCCCAUGCAAACAGGGAGCUGCCUGUACAUGGAGUAAUAUUUUGGGACUUUGCAGAAUCAAAUAUAUGAUUAACA